GGUUAGACGAAAAAUUUAAAUAGAGCAAUAAUUAAAUUAAUUAACAGUGAAUAUCCCCUAGUAAACAUAAUCUUUUUCUUAGGUGAAAUUUAUAUAAAACUUCAAACAUUCUGGGUGACAUUCGAAGGAAUUAUGAAAUGAGGACCAAAAACCAGGAUUAGAUACCCUGUUAUUCUUCAAUAUACUUAAUAGGGUAGUAAAAGUGAUUCUUCAAACCCAAAGACUUUGGCGGCAUUCUAACCCAAUAGAGGAGCUUGUAUUAUAAUCGAUAAUCCUCGUUUUAUCUUACCUUUAUUUGUUUAGCUUGUAUACCUCCGUUGACAGAUUACUCUAAAAGGAUGUUUUCUAAAAAAAUAAUUUUUUUACUUCAGGUCAAGGUGCAGCUUAUAUAAAGGAAAUAAUGAGCUACAAUUCGUUCUAAGAAUAACGGAUAUAAAAUUGAAAUUUUAUUAAAGGUGGAUUUAUUAGUAAAUUAUCCUAAGGAAGGCUAAUUGAAUAAGGCAAUAGCAUGUGCACAUAUCGCCCGUCACUCUCCUCC
RNAcentral lists this ribosomal RNA (538 nucleotides) under Daphnia mediterranea. Its description in RNAcentral is "partial small subunit ribosomal RNA". Lineage: Eukaryota; Metazoa; Arthropoda; Branchiopoda; Diplostraca; Daphniidae. The record is from RNAcentral.